This is a long non-coding RNA of Macadamia integrifolia, 277 nucleotides long. RefSeq lists it as uncharacterized. The record is from RefSeq and is a predicted model, not a curated record. The transcript is spliced from 3 exons. Lineage: Eukaryota; Viridiplantae; Streptophyta; Magnoliopsida; Proteales; Proteaceae.
GAGAAGAAGAAGAAGAACGAUCACUGGAGAAGAAGCAAGAUCUACCUUGAAUCCUCGACACAGCAGAAAUCCCUCUCUAUUUCGAACAGAGAGCUACUGCAGUCAGCUACCAUCACUUGUUGGUGAUCUUCACCUCAGAUUCAAGGUACCUCAGAUUCAGAUCCAUGGAAGGCUUUCCAAAAUCAUCCAUAGCCAGCCGAUCCAGUCCCAAAGGUACUAUUUGGAUCACUAUUGCCUUGGCAGGAAGGAAGGCAAGGUUAGUGAGGCCAGCCCCAUG